This is a transfer RNA of Chaetomium globosum CBS 148.51, 98 nucleotides long. It matches the Rfam family "tRNA". From Rfam's summary of the family: Transfer RNA (tRNA) molecules are approximately 80 nucleotides in length. Their secondary structure includes four short double-helical elements and three loops (D, anti-codon, and T loops). The record is from Rfam. NCBI's taxonomy places the organism in Eukaryota, Fungi, Ascomycota, Sordariomycetes, Sordariales, Chaetomiaceae.
GUCACUUUGGCGGAGUGGUUAACGCGCUGCCCUGCUAAUUCACAGUUAGCUGCGAGGCAGUUCCUUCGGGAGCGUAGGUUCGAAUCCUACAGGUGACG